Molecule: small nuclear RNA, 107 nt
Filed under: Balaenoptera musculus (blue whale)
Lineage: Eukaryota; Metazoa; Chordata; Mammalia; Artiodactyla; Balaenopteridae
Source: RNAcentral
GUGCUCGCUUCAGCAGCACAUAUACUAAAAUUGGAACCAUACAGAGAAGAUUAGCAUGGCCCCUGCCCAAGGAUGACAUGCAAAUUCGUGAAGCAUUCCAUAUUUUU